UGCAGUCGAGUGCGCGUUUCCGUAGCAAUACGGAAAUGGCGCACGGCGCACGGGUGCGUAACACGUGGGUAAUCUGCCCUCUGAUGGGGAAUAACCCGCCGAAAGGCGGGCUAAUACCGCAUAACAUUCCUUGGACUCCGGUUCGAGGAUUCAAAGGCGUAAGUCGUCGGAGGUGGAGCCCGCGCACGAUUAGCUAGUUGGUAGGGUAAUGGCCUACCAAGGCUAUGAUCGUUAGCUGGUCUGAGAGGAUGGCCAGCCACACUGGAACUGAGACACGGUCCAGACUCCUACGGGAGGCAGCAGUGGGGAAUCUUGCACAAUGGGCGAAAGCCUGAUGCAGCGACGCCGCGUGGGGGAUGAAGCUUCUCGGAGUGUAAACCCCUUUCGACCGGGACGAAUACCUCGCAAGAGGGGUGACGGUACCGGUAUAAGAAGCCCCGGCUAACUACGUGCCAGCAGCCGCGGUAAGACGUAGGGGGCCAGCGUUGCUCGGAAUUACUGGGUGUAAAGGGUUCGUAGGCGGUGUGGCAAGUCGGGAGUGAAAUCUCUGGGCUCAACUCAGGGGCUGCUUCCGAAACUGCCGCGCUAGAGUGUGGGAGAGGCGCGUGGAAUUGCAGGUGUAGCGGUGAAAUGCGUAGAUAUCUGCAGGAACACCCGUGGCGAAAGCGGCGCGCUGGACCACUACUGACGCUGAGGAACGAAAGCUAGGGGAGCAAACAGGAUUAGAUACCCUGGUAGUCCUAGCCCUAAACGAUCAGGACUUGGGGUGCCACCCGUUCGGGUGUCGUCCCGGAGCUAACGCGUUAAGUCCUGCACCUGGGGAGUACGUCGCAAGACUGAAACUCAAAGGAAUUGACGGGGGCCCGCACAAGCGGUGGAACAUGUGGUUCAAUUCGACGCUACGCGAGGAACCUUACCUGGGCUCGAAAUGCUGGUGACCAGCUG
This 945-nucleotide ribosomal RNA is filed under the name uncultured bacterium. RNAcentral's name for it is "bacterial SSU rRNA". It matches the Rfam family "Bacterial small subunit ribosomal RNA", at positions 56 to 1002 of the family's 1533-position model. The record is from RNAcentral.